Molecule: long non-coding RNA, 397 nt
Filed under: Panax ginseng (ginseng)
Lineage: Eukaryota; Viridiplantae; Streptophyta; Magnoliopsida; Apiales; Araliaceae
Description: long non-coding RNA (PGIN_LNC006998)
Source: RNAcentral
UAAGAUUAAUUGUGAGUGUAUUCAAAGCGUAAUCAAGAAAGAUAUGAGAUUUUGUCAAAGAAAAAUAAAAUGUUAAAGAUAAGGUUUUUGGGGCAAAAAUGUACUUGCACACUUGAGUUAACGGAGUUAUGAUGGAAAACGUAACUUUCAUUUAGCUUCAAUAGUACAAAUGUUCAAGUGUCGAUUUUUGAAACUGAGGUGAUCAUGUGAGAAAACGUGUAAACCUCAAUGAAAUUUAUGGUAAUAGAUAUUAAGAAUCAUAAUAGAAGAAGGUAUGGGGAAUUAAAAUAAUGUGAUUUAUUCGGGACGGCCAAAACUCCAACAGCUAAGUGGUGGAAAUCUUUGAAUUGAUGAUGUCUGUGUUUUUGUGUUUGAUAGAAAGAAAGAAAGACUGCAC